GGCAGAGAGAGCCCAGUUCCCGUGCCCACAAUCGGGCAUGAGGAAAGUCCCCCCACCGUCUGGACAGGUGACCGGGCGCAAGCCCGGAGUCGGAGACGGCUGGCUCUGGAACAGAAACGACACCCCUCGACCUGACCGAUGAUGUGCGUGUGGCGACUUCGGUCGUCGCCGGUACGAACGAGGUAACUCGCCCGUACGCGAACCGACCCGUAAGGGAAGGGAGAUAACCCACAGAGGGAAGACGGUCGAGAAUGGAUGGAACGGUGAAUCCUCACCGGUGCAAGUCCGCGCCGUGAAGGUAGUCCGGACGGCGCGUCGGGUUCGCCCGGCGUGCCCUCGGGGGUCGCCCCGAGAAGGACGCGGACGCUUAGCCGAAUGCUGGGACGAACAGAAGGGGGCUUACUCCUCUCAGCC
RNAcentral lists this RNase P RNA (414 nucleotides) under Haloferax sp. CBA1150. Its description in RNAcentral is "RNase P RNA component". It matches the Rfam family "Archaeal RNase P". From Rfam's summary of the family: Ribonuclease P (RNase P) is a ubiquitous endoribonuclease, found in archaea, bacteria and eukarya as well as chloroplasts and mitochondria. Its best characterised activity is the generation of mature 5'-ends of tRNAs by cleaving the 5'-leader elements of precursor-tRNAs. RNAcentral also lists the same sequence under 1 other name. Lineage: Archaea; Methanobacteriati; Methanobacteriota; Halobacteria; Halobacteriales; Haloferacaceae. The record is from RNAcentral.